RNAcentral lists this non-coding RNA (27 nucleotides) under Rattus norvegicus (Norway rat). The record is from RNAcentral. Lineage: Eukaryota; Metazoa; Chordata; Mammalia; Rodentia; Muridae.
UGAGGAUUUGGAAGGAGGCUUCCCCCU